Molecule: transfer RNA, 71 nt
Filed under: Neotoma lepida (desert woodrat)
Lineage: Eukaryota; Metazoa; Chordata; Mammalia; Rodentia; Cricetidae
Rfam family: tRNA
About the family: Transfer RNA (tRNA) molecules are approximately 80 nucleotides in length. Their secondary structure includes four short double-helical elements and three loops (D, anti-codon, and T loops).
Source: Rfam by way of RNAcentral
GAAAGUGUAGCUCAAUGGUAGAGUCCUUGACUCAUGUGCAAAGGGCCCUGGGUUCCGUUCCCAGCACUUCA